Molecule: ribosomal RNA, 686 nt
Filed under: uncultured bacterium
Lineage: Bacteria
Description: bacterial SSU rRNA
Rfam family: Bacterial small subunit ribosomal RNA
Source: RNAcentral
GGUGUCGGGGGAAUCGACCCCUUCGGUGUCGUAGCUAACGCGUUAAGUGUUCCGCCUGGGGAGUACGCACGCAAGUGUGAAACUCAAAGGAAUUGACGGGGGCCCGCACAAGCGGUGGAGUAUGUGGUUUAAUUCGAUGCAACGCGAAGAACCUUACCAGGGUUUGACAUCCUGCGAACCUCUUAGAAAUUUGAGGGUGCCUUCGGGAAUGCAGUGACAGGUGGUGCAUGGCUGUCGUCAGCUCGUGUCGUGAGAUGUUGGGUUAAGUCCCGCAACGAGCGCAACCCACGUUUUUAGUUGCCAGCAUUUAGUUGGGCACUCUAGAAAGACCGCCGGUGAUAAACCGGAGGAAGGUGUGGAUGACGUCAAGUCAUCAUGCCCCUUACACCCUGGGCUACACACGUACUACAAUGCUACGGACAAAGGGCAGCAAACUCGCGAGAGCUAGCAAAUCCCAUAAACCGUGGCUCAGUUCAGAUCGUAGGCUGCAACUCGCCUACGUGAAGUAGGAAUCGCUAGUAAUCGCAGGUCAGCAUACUGCGGUGAAUACGUUCCCGGGCCUUGUACACACCGCCCGUCACACCAUGGAAGUUGGCCAUGCCCGAAGUCGUUACUCCAACCCUUGUGGAGGAGGACGCCGAAGGUGGGGCUAAUGACUGGGGUGAAGUCGUAACAAGGUAGCCGUA